RNAcentral lists this ribosomal RNA (811 nucleotides) under uncultured Actinomycetes bacterium. Its description in RNAcentral is "bacterial SSU rRNA". It matches the Rfam family "Bacterial small subunit ribosomal RNA", at positions 70 to 858 of the family's 1533-position model. Lineage: Bacteria; Bacillati; Actinomycetota; Actinomycetes. The record is from RNAcentral.
AAAGUUCCCUUCGGGGGACAAGUAGAGUGGCGCACGGGUGAGUAACACGUAGGUAAUCUACCUUUGGAUUGGGAAUAACAACCGGAAACGGUUGCUAAUACCGAAUAAUGCAGCGGCACCUAAUGGUGACAGUUGUUAAAGCGGGGGAUCGCAAGACCUCGCGUCUGAAGAGGAGCCUGCGGCGGAUUAGCUAGUUGGUAAGGUAACGGCUUACCAAGGCGAUGAUCCGUAGCCGGCCUGAGAGGGCGGUCGGCCACACUGACACUGACAUACGGGUCAGACUCCUACGGGAGGCAGCAGUCGGGAAUUUUGGGCAAUGGGCGAAAGCCUGACCCAGCAACGCCGCGUGAAGGAUGAAAUCCCUCGGGAUGUAAACUUCGCAAGAACGGGAAGAAUAAGUAGGGGACAAUACCCCCUAUGAUGACGGUACUGUUUGUAAGCUCCGGCUAACUCCGUGCCAGCAGCCGCGGUAAUACGGGGGGAGCAAGCGUUGUUCGGAUUUACUGGGCGUAAAGGGCGCGUAGGCGGCCACCGCAAGUCGACUGUGAAAUCUCCGGGCUUAACUCGGAAAGGUCAGCCGAUACUGCGGGGCUAGAGUGCAGAAGGGGCAACUGGAAUUCUCGGUGUAGCGGUGAAAUGCGUAGAUAUCGAGAGGAACACCUGCGGCGAAGGCGGGUUGCUGGGCUGACACUGACGCUGAAGUGCGAAAGCUAGGGGAGCGAACGGGAUUAGAUACCCCGGUAGUCCUAGCCUUAAACGAUGAAUGCUUGGUGUCUGGGGUUCUAUAGUCCCCGGGUGCCGUCGCUAACGC